AAGUGGCAUUAUUUCCGUGGAAUAUUAUCACUGAUUCUCUUCUUUCAUCCAACCUGUUUGGCAUAUCAGCAUCGUACCUCAUCGCAUCACUAUUUGCAUACCAAUUUUUCUUCUUCUUCUUCUUCUUGAGUUUCAUACACGUGCAAAUUUCCGAGCUUCGCAGAAUCUUCUUCUUCAGUUUCUUACAAGUGUGUAAUAUCAAAGGAUAAGAUACGAUAUUGUACUUCAGUUCCAUUCAACAAUGGCCUAUUUGGGUUCAAUGGGAUUGUCCCAUGGCGUUAGGCUAUUAUACACUAGUGAUAGAAAAUGUAGUUUUUGUCAGAGGCCCUUGCCUGGUGACCGGUUGUGUUUUGUUACAAUCAAUCUUUCACCUGUUAGUUUGAGGCAGAAUUCUUCAGCACUCCUAUUUUCUGGAUUACAUGCCCCACUUAAGCCUGUACCUUCUAGAUGUAAUGUUUUGCUGUGUCGGUCUGUCCUAACGCCAGCUGGAGGGUUUGAGGCGCCGCUAGUGAAAGCAGCUACUAUUUCUUUGUCAAGGUCAUAUAAUGCUAUAUCAAGACCAAUUUUGCUUCAAUUGAUCCCUGCCCUUGGUAUCAUUGGCUUUGCUUUCUUUGGUCUUGAGCCGUUCCUGCGCUUGAGCAGGGUUCUAUUUCUCCAAGAUAGAGUUGAUAGAAGUUGGAAGAAAAGUAGUUCACGUUAUAUUAUGACCUCUUAUUUGCAACCUUUGCUGCUGUGGAUUGGGGUAAUGCUUAUCUGCAGGGAUUUAGAUCCACUAGUCCUACAAUCAGAAACCGGUCAGAUUAUGAAGCAACGAUUGCUGAGUUUUGUACGAUCUUUGUCAACCGUGCUUACAUUUGCUUACUGUUCUUCAAGAUUAAUUCGACAAGCACAGAAAUUCUACAUGGACACAGAUGACUCCAGUGAUGAAAAAAAUAUGAGCAUUGAUCUUAUUGGGAAAGCUGUAUAUACAGCAAUAUGGGUCGCUGCUGUCUCAUUGUUCAUGGAGUUGAUUGGUUUCUCCACGCAGAAGUGGUUGACUGCUGGUGGUUUGGGCACAGUAUUACUUUCCCUUGCAGGUCGUGAGAUAUUUACAAACUUCCUUUCAAGUGUAAUGAUCCACGCAACUCGUCCAUUUGUGGUGAAUGAGCGGAUUAAAACGAAGAUUAAAGGAUAUGAGGUUUCUGGUAAAGUUGAGCAUGUGGGAUGGUGGUCACCAACACUAGUUAGAGGUGCUGAUUGUGAAGCAGUUCAUAUUCCUAAUCACAAGUUGAGUGUAAAUGUUGUGAGGAAUCUUAGUAUGAAAUCUCAUUGGCGCAUUAAGACUCAUCUUGCUAUUAGUCACAUGGAUGUUAGCAAGAUUAAUAGUAUCAUAGCUGAUAUGCGGAAGGUUUUGGCGAAAAAUCCUCAAGUAGAGCAGAAAAAAUUGCACAGAAGGGUUUUUUUGGAGGAUAUCAAUCCAGAAAAUCAGGCUCUUAUGAUAUUGGUCUCUUGCUUUGUUAAAACUUCACAUUCUGAAGAGUACCUCCGUGUUAAGGAGGCAAUUCUCUUGGAUCUGCUAAGAGUCAUCAGUCAUCACGGAGCUCGGCUAGCCACUCCCAUUCGCACAGUUAUUAAGAUGUACAGCGAUGUGGAUUUUGAAAUUGAUCCAUUUGAUGACACUACUUUCACUCGUUCCAGAGCAAAGGCAAAGCGUACAUUCCCACUUACAGAUCCAUCUCAAAAUUAAGCCUUCAAUUCACUCAAUCGUUACAAAUGAAUGCGAUGGUUGACAAAACCCUGCUGCCGACUUCAAGGUAGAAUCUGAUAAAUUUGCUGUGACGUGGACCCUCUCAUCCAGUGGAAACUCCAAGGAUAAACUAAAGGCAAUAUCUCAAGCUAAAAUCCAGAAUAUGUGUUCUUAUACUUUAGUCCAGAAGACCUCCAAAUCCCUAGAGCCCAAAAAGGAAAGAGCAGGAAAUGUAGAAAAGGGAACAUCACCAAAUAUUGUUACAUGCAGUGAGUCUUGGUUAUCAAAACAAGAUAAAGAGAUCUGCUGUGUACUUAUGAUCAGUUAUAUAAUGUUUGGAUCGGCUUCUUUUUCAUCAGAAUCAGUUCUAAAAUCCAGGAGCUACUCACAUAAGUUUCUACUCAUAAUUGAUUUCGUCUCCAGAGUCAUUUGUAUAAGAGUUUACAAACAUGCACUUAGUUCUUCCUUUGAACGGAAUACUAUACCUGAUGCUGUCCUGGUGAGCUCGAAGUAAACCCUUACCAGUGAUUAAGAAAUAAUGCCAUCUAUUCCUCUGGAAUCACUGGAAUUUGCUUCCAACAGACUGGUAGAGAAUCUUCUAUUAGCAAAGAUAAGGAUGGUGAGGAUCUGUCUCCAUUUUCUACUCCCAAUCAGAACCUCUGAAUAACAAACAAAGCUUUUUGGCGAUAGAACAGAACUCUGCAUCUCCCUUUUUUGUUAGUUUGUUAACUGUUAGUUGAUGGUUAGUUAGAAAAUGAGCUAUCUGGUAAAGUUAGUUUAAUGUUAGAUUAGGUACUUUAGGCAUUCCACUAUAAAUGUGUAAUUGUUGUAUCAUUUCCAUCAUCUUUGAAUCAAUAAGAAAUUCCCAUUGUUGGAUUCUCUUUCAAAAAUUAUAAAA
Molecule: RNA transcript, 2624 nt
Organism: Lotus japonicus
Lineage: Eukaryota; Viridiplantae; Streptophyta; Magnoliopsida; Fabales; Fabaceae
Gene name: mechanosensitive ion channel protein 3, chloroplastic-like
Exons: 14
Source: RefSeq, a predicted model, not a curated record